RNAcentral lists this ribosomal RNA (267 nucleotides) under uncultured bacterium. Its description in RNAcentral is "partial small subunit ribosomal RNA". It matches the Rfam family "Bacterial small subunit ribosomal RNA", at positions 26 to 291 of the family's 1533-position model. The record is from RNAcentral.
AGGACGAACGCUGGCGGCGUGGAUUAGGCAUGCAAGUUGAGCGACGGUAGGCUUUCGGGCUUAUACGGAGCAGCGAACGGGUGAGUAACACGUGAACAACCUGUCCCUACAUUCCGGAUAAUUGGGAGAAAUCCCUUGUAAUACGGGCGAGGGUCCCUGGGGAGCAUUCUCUGGGGAAGGAAGGCGCAAGCCGUGCGGGGAGGGGUUCGCGGCCUAUCAGUUAGUUGGUGGGGUAAUGGCCUACCAAGACGACGACGGGUAGCUGGU